This 253-nucleotide ribosomal RNA is filed under the name uncultured bacterium. RNAcentral's name for it is "partial 16S ribosomal RNA". It matches the Rfam family "Bacterial small subunit ribosomal RNA", at positions 524 to 776 of the family's 1533-position model. The record is from RNAcentral.
UACGGGGGGGGCAAGCGUUGUCCGGAUUUAUUGGGCGUAAAGAGCGUGUAGGCGGUUAGGUAGGUCCGUUGUGAAAACUCGAGGCUCAACCUCGAGACGCCGAUGGAAACCAUCUGACUAGAGUCCGGAAGAGGAGAGUGGAAUUCCUGGUGUAGCGGUGAAAUGCGCAGAUAUCAGGAAGAACACCCGUGGCUAAGGCGGCUCUCUAGUACGUGACUGACGCUGAGACGCGAAAGCGUGGGGAGCGAACAGG